ACACCCUCAAGCGCGGCUUGGUGUUGGGCGUCUGUCCCGCUUCGGCGCGGACUCGCCUCGAAACGAUUGGCAGCCACCCCGGCGGCUUCGAGCGCAGCAGAAUUGCGACUCGGGCCGCGGGGGUCGGCCCCCACGAAGCAUCUUCCA
Molecule: unclassified non-coding RNA, 147 nt
Filed under: uncultured Lophiostoma
Lineage: Eukaryota; Fungi; Ascomycota; Dothideomycetes; Pleosporales; Lophiostomataceae
Description: sequence contains ITS2
Source: RNAcentral